RNAcentral lists this ribosomal RNA (625 nucleotides) under Maublancomyces pseudogigas. RNAcentral's name for it is "Gyromitra pseudogigas partial 28S ribosomal RNA". It matches the Rfam family "Eukaryotic large subunit ribosomal RNA", at positions 75 to 713 of the family's 3401-position model. Lineage: Eukaryota; Fungi; Ascomycota; Pezizomycetes; Pezizales; Discinaceae. The record is from RNAcentral.
UUGCCUUAGUAACGGCGAGUGAAGCGGCAACAGCUCAAAUUUUAAAGCUGGCGUCCUCGACGCCCGCGUUGUAAUUUGGAGAGGCAUCUUCGGUUUGGGCGCCAGCCUAUGUUCCUUGGAACAGGACGUCACAGAGGGUGAGAAUCCCGUGCUUGGCUGGCUGUCCCUCUCCAUGUGAAGUGUCUUCGACGAGUCGAGUUGUUUGGGAAUGCAGCUCAAAAUGGGUGGUAAAUUUCAUCUAAAGCUAAAUAUUGGCGGGAGACCGAUAGCGCACAAGUAGAGUGAUCGAAAGAUGAAAAGCACUUUGAAAAUAGAGUUAAAAAGUACGUGAAAUUGUUGAAAGGGAAGCGCUUGAGACCAGACUCGGCCGGAGACGAUCAGCGGUCCUUUUGGGCCGUGCACUCGUCCUCGGUUGGGCCAGCAUCGGUUGAGACGGCGGGAUAAAGGCCUGGGGAAUGUGGCUCCUUUCGGGGAGUGUUAUAGCCCUGGGUGCAAUGCCGCCAGCCUCGACCGAGGACCGCGCUUUAUUGCUAGGAUGCUGGCGUAAUGGUCUUCAGCGACCCGUCUUGAAACACGGACCAAGGAGUCUAACAUCUAUGCGAGUGUUUGGGUGUCAAACCCUUGC